AUCUCAGUUCUUGCACACGGUACUAGAUUGCUGAACUGUUACACGCGAUGUUCGCAAAUCACUGUUCCAACUUCCUUUUCGGUUAUACUGACUUUCUGUGCUCUUCUAACUGCUCUUCGCGGGACCGCCCGCUGCGGUAUGAGUUUGUGGAACCCAAAUGCAUCAACAACGGUUGCACCUGAAUGACGAGAUUCCAACUUGUGACAUCAACCAUGCUAUAACUUCUCCUUAUGUUGGUUUGAGUGGCGAUUAGUCAUAUUUGACUUGUCGCCAUUACGACUCAUAACAACUCAGCCUUUGAUGGUGUCUAUAACCGUUCCAAGCCAAAAUGGAAAAUUAUAACAAUACAUAGUGGGGUAAUGAAAAAGCAAUAGUAACAUGGAAAUAAAAGGAAAUUCAAGAGAAAGUGCAUCGCUUUUAUACAUUAUAGGAAUAAAGACUGGGGACUCUAUUUUGUUUACCCUAGGGUAAACAAAAUACUGAGUUAUUAUAGUGAGUUAUUUUUCAUUUUUUUUUAACAUUUAUUUAGUUUGCUUGAUAAUUUCAUUAUGAGGUUUUAAUUUUCUUUUUCAAAUUACUACCAUUUAUAGUCAUUAUUUAUUCUUAUUAUAAGAAUAUUAUUUAAUUCAUAUCUGUAUCAUAUACUCACACACACACCCUUAUUUUUUAGAGCUAUGCUCCUUUUAAAAUCUGCGAUCUUAUUUCCACGGCAUUUACUAAACCUUUUGUGAUUACUUUAUUCCAU
Lytechinus pictus (painted urchin) is the source of this 745-nucleotide long non-coding RNA. RefSeq lists it as uncharacterized. The transcript is spliced from 3 exons. The record is from RefSeq and is a predicted model, not a curated record. Lineage: Eukaryota; Metazoa; Echinodermata; Echinoidea; Temnopleuroida; Toxopneustidae.